Long non-coding RNA from Microtus oregoni (creeping vole), 247 nucleotides. RefSeq lists it as uncharacterized. The record is from RefSeq and is a predicted model, not a curated record. Lineage: Eukaryota; Metazoa; Chordata; Mammalia; Rodentia; Cricetidae. The transcript is spliced from 3 exons.
CAGCAUCGACUUCAGCCUGAAUCAUUCUUCAGCAACUUUGCGCUUUUUUUUCCCCCGCACGGUGGAGUGAAGAUUGGCAAGAAGCUUGCCAUCACGUGAAGAACAGAGAAAUUUGCAAGGGCUUCUCAGUUCUUUGGGCCAUGUUCGAGCCACUUGUGAUGAUUGGCCCUCUGAUCAUCCUGUGUUUCCGAUUUAUACCAUGGUGCCUUGUGACGAUACUGGAGGAGUGAAGGAAUAAAUAUUUGGC